AGGACGAACGCUGGCGGCGUGCUUAACACAUGCAAGUCGAACGGAAAGGCCCGCUUGCGGGUACUCGAGUGGCGAACGGGUGAGUAACACGUGGGCAACCUGCCCUCAGCUUCGGGAUAACACUUGGAAACAGGUGCUAAUACCGGAUAAUAACCUUUCAUCGCAUGGUGUGGGGUUCAAAGUUUUUCGGCUGGGGAUGGGCCCGCGGCCUAUCAGCUUGUUGGUGGGGUAAUGGCCUACCAAGGCGACGACGGGUAGCCGGCCUGAGAGGGCGACCGGCCACACUGGGACUGAGACACGGCCCAGACUCCUACGGGAGGCAGCAGUGGGGAAUAUUGCGCAAUGGGCGGAAGCCUGACGCAGCGACGCCGCGUGAGGGAUGACGGCCUUCGGGUUGUAAACCGUCUUUCAGCUCUGACGAAGCGCAAGUGACGGUAGGAGCAGAAGAAGCACCGGCCAACUACGUGCCAGCAGCCGC
RNAcentral lists this ribosomal RNA (478 nucleotides) under uncultured bacterium. RNAcentral's name for it is "SSU rRNA". It matches the Rfam family "Bacterial small subunit ribosomal RNA", at positions 26 to 518 of the family's 1533-position model. The record is from RNAcentral.